GAUAACAGGCUGAUCUUCCCCAAGAGCUCACAUCGACGGAAAGGUUUGUCACCUUGAUGUUGCCUCUUCGCCACGUGGGGCAGUAGUAUGUUUCAAGGGUUGGGAUGUUCACCCAUUAAAGCGGUAUGUGAGAUGGGUUUAGAACGUCGUGAGACAGUUC
Molecule: non-coding RNA, 160 nt
Filed under: Solanum lycopersicum (tomato)
Lineage: Eukaryota; Viridiplantae; Streptophyta; Magnoliopsida; Solanales; Solanaceae
Description: Bacterial large subunit ribosomal RNA
Rfam family: Bacterial large subunit ribosomal RNA
Source: Rfam by way of RNAcentral